RNAcentral lists this transfer RNA (82 nucleotides) under Bacteroidota bacterium. RNAcentral describes it as "Bacteroidetes bacterium (freshwater metagenome) tRNA-Leu". It matches the Rfam family "tRNA". From Rfam's summary of the family: Transfer RNA (tRNA) molecules are approximately 80 nucleotides in length. Their secondary structure includes four short double-helical elements and three loops (D, anti-codon, and T loops). Lineage: Bacteria; Pseudomonadati; Bacteroidota. The record is from RNAcentral.
GCCCAGGUGGCGAAAUUGGUAGACGCACCGUCUUCAGGUGGCGGCGCCGCAAGGCGUGCUGGUUCGAAUCCAGUCCUGGGCA